Molecule: ribosomal RNA, 1006 nt
Filed under: Acinetobacter baumannii
Lineage: Bacteria; Pseudomonadati; Pseudomonadota; Gammaproteobacteria; Moraxellales; Moraxellaceae
Also listed under: 5 other names
Description: partial 16S ribosomal RNA
Rfam family: Bacterial small subunit ribosomal RNA
Source: RNAcentral
AAAUUGAAGAGUUUGAUCAUGGCUCAGAUUGAACGCUGGCGGCAGGCCUAACACAUGCAAGUCGAGCGGUAGCACAGAGAGCUUGCUCUCGGGUGACGAGCGGCGGACGGGUGAGUAAUGUCUGGGAAACUGCCUGAUGGAGGGGGAUAACUACUGGAAACGGUAGCUAAUACCGCAUAAUGUCGCAAGACCAAAGUGGGGGACCUUCGGGCCUCAUGCCAUCAGAUGUGCCCAGAUGGGAUUAGCUAGUAGGUGGGGUAACGGCUCACCUAGGCGACGAUCCCUAGCUGGUCUGAGAGGAUGACCAGCCACACUGGAACUGAGACACGGUCCAGACUCCUACGGGAGGCAGCAGUGGGGAAUAUUGCACAAUGGGCGCAAGCCUGAUGCAGCCAUGCCGCGUGUAUGAAGAAGGCCUUCGGGUUGUAAAGUACUUUCAGCGGGGAGGAAGGCGAUAAGGUUAAUAACCUUGUCGAUUGACGUUACCCGCAGAAGAAGCACCGGCUAACUCCGUGCCAGCAGCCGCGGUAAUACGGAGGGUGCAAGCGUUAAUCGGAAUUACUGGGCGUAAAGCGCACGCAGGCGGUCUGUCAAGUCGGAUGUGAAAUCCCCGGGCUCAACCUGGGAACUGCAUUCGAAACUGGCAGGCUAGAGUCUUGUAGAGGGGGGUAGAAUUCCAGGUGUAGCGGUGAAAUGCGUAGAGAUCUGGAGGAAUACCGGUGGCGAAGGCGGCCCCCUGGACAAAGACUGACGCUCAGGUGCGAAAGCGUGGGGAGCAAACAGGAUUAGAUACCCUGGUAGUCCACGCCGUAAACGAUGUCGAUUUGGAGGUUGUGCCCUUGAGGCGUGGCUUCCGGAGCUAACGCGUUAAAUCGACCGCCUGGGGAGUACGGCCGCAAGGUUAAAACUCAAAUGAAUUGACGGGGGCCCGCACAAGCGGUGGAGCAUGUGGUUUAAUUCGAUGCAACGCGAAGAACCUUACCUGGUCUUGACAUCCACAGAACUU